AAUACGCCGCUGGCGACCGGCGCACGGGUGAGUAACACGUAUCCAACCUGCCCUUUACUCGGGGAUAGCCUUUCGAAAGAAAGAUUAAUACCCGAUGGUAUAACAUGACCUCCUGGUUUUGUUAUUAAAGAAUUUCGGUAGAGGAUGGGGAUGCGUUCCAUUAGGCAGUUGGCGGGGUAACGGCCCACCAAACCUUCGAUGGAUAGGGGUUCUGAGAGGAAGGUCCCCCACAUUGGAACUGAGACACGGUCCAAACUCCUACGGGAGGCAGCAGUGAGGAAUAUUGGUCAAUGGGCGAGAGCCUGAACCAGCCAAGUAGCGUGAAGGAUGACCGCCCUAUGGGUUGUAAACUUCUUUUAUAUGGGAAUAAAGUCUGCCACGUGUGGCAUUUUGUAUGUACCAUAUGAAUAAGGAUCGGCUAACUCCGUGCCAGCAGCCGCGGUAAUACGGAGGAUCCGAGCGUUAUCCGGAUUUAUUGGGUUUAAAGGGAGCGUAGGUGGACAUGUAAGUCAGUUGUGAAAGUUUGCGGCUCAACCGUAAAAUUGCAGUUGAUACUGCGUGUCUUGAGUACAGUAGAGGUGGGCGGAAUUCGUGGUGUAGCGGUGAAAUGCUUAGAUAUCACGAAGAA
RNAcentral lists this ribosomal RNA (628 nucleotides) under uncultured Bacteroidales bacterium. RNAcentral's name for it is "bacterial SSU rRNA". It matches the Rfam family "Bacterial small subunit ribosomal RNA", at positions 79 to 706 of the family's 1533-position model. Lineage: Bacteria; Pseudomonadati; Bacteroidota; Bacteroidia; Bacteroidales. The record is from RNAcentral.